This is a long non-coding RNA of Budorcas taxicolor (takin), 323 nucleotides long. RefSeq lists it as uncharacterized. The record is from RefSeq and is a predicted model, not a curated record. Lineage: Eukaryota; Metazoa; Chordata; Mammalia; Artiodactyla; Bovidae. The transcript has 3 exons.
CCCACCCUUCACGGCUCCCCUGGGUCCCGUCUAAGAACGCUCCCACCUCCCCCUCCCACAGUGUCCGGAACGGAGGGGACCUCAGCGAGGAAUGGACUGGGUCUGAUUGUGACAAGGAGACUGGGCUGUGGAACCAGGAUGGACAAAGGAGCAGAGAACUCCACAGUUUGCAGUGCGAAAGUGAGUAAGCCAGAUCAGUCCUGCUGGUGAAGGCAAGCCCUGCCUCCUCUGAGGAAGCCCACGCCAUCUUCCAGGAUCUCUAAGCCUUGCUCUGGGAACUUCUGGGGAUUCAGUGAGGGUCAGGUGUUGCCCACGUAGGGCUA